Molecule: long non-coding RNA, 2874 nt
Organism: Acinonyx jubatus (cheetah)
Lineage: Eukaryota; Metazoa; Chordata; Mammalia; Carnivora; Felidae
Exons: 2
Source: RefSeq, a predicted model, not a curated record
CAGAGGGGUGAAGUCACCAGGAGGCCGGGGCACACUGUGGCCGAGCCAGGCCCGAGCUCAGGUUUCCUGACUCGGGCUCAGAGCGUGCUCCGAGCCCUGGGGCCACUCUGCUCCCAGCUCAGAACAGCUGUCGUUCCCUUUAGCUUCUAAACCCGCAGAGGGUACAGGCAGGAUCUUCCGAGGGGAUUGACGUCCCCACGGCAGUUAGCACCGCCUGUGGGUGGAGCUAUUGCCGAGAACACUUGAGCCUUUGCCGGGAGCGUCGGACUUGGGUUUUGAAAGUCUACUUGCCGUGGCCUGUGCGAGUUUGUCCCAGCUCCUUUUUUGUCACUCCUCUGUGACAGCGCUCAGCCAGCAGGGAGGCCAGAGGUGCGCAUUUUGGACCACUUUGGAAUCCGUCCUCCAAACACCGUCUGGUGGCUCACUCUCACAGCUGGUGAGUAUCGUUCCUUGUCCAGCCACGGGGUUGGGGAGGGGCCGAGAAGUGUACGCAUGCUUGCUCCCCUGACCUGCGGGUGCUCACAGCUGGAGAGACAGCAUCACGUGAGAAACAGCUAGAAGGAUGGUGUGAGUGCCCUCUCAAGGCGGGGGAGGGCGGGGCCCAUGACCCUCCACUAUGAGAGACACAACCAGCUCAGAGAGGCAGAGAUCCCUGGGGACAGGGAGGCUCUGAGGAAGCUUCCUAGCUGAGGACACCCGCAUCCCCCUCCCCUUAGUUUGUCUCCAUCCGGCUGAAACAUUGUUGCAGUUUGUGAAUCACACCAGGAAAACCGCCCCUGCCACAUUCCGGGAUGUGAAAGCCAGGACCUUGGCCUCACUGCUGAUGGGUGGUGGUGGACCAGGGGAAAGGGCACCAGGCAGGCAGUCUGGUGAUGCAGGAUUCUGUGCCCUGACCUACACACACCGGUCGGAUGAGGCAGAGUCGGGUGCUUUUCCAGUCAAGGUCAAUGCCAAAGCGGCCAGAGUCAGGUCUCCUGACUUCCAGGCAGGUACCUCCCGAGUUUGGUGACGAUGAGAGAGCGUGCAUGAUGGGGAGGAGCAGAGAGAGAGAGAAGGUUCAUGCGGCUCUGUCAGUACAGAGUCCGACUUGCGGCUCAAACUCAGGAACUGUGAGAUCAUGACCUGAGCCGAAAUCGAGAGUUGGACGCCCAACCAACCAAGCCACCCAGGCGCCCCAAAACCAUACUCUUUAGAUGGUAAAAGGACAAAGAGAAGCAAGUAAGUGACUAUCAUAAAAAUCAGGAGUGGUUACCUUAGAGAGGAGGGAGAGAAAUGUGGUUGCAAAUGGUCCCGCAGGGGACUUCUGGGAUGCUGGCAAUGUCCUGGGUUUAGCCUGGGUGUUUGGUACAGGGAUGUUGGUUUAUAAUAAUUCUUCAAGUGGUGUAUUCAUGUAAUGCAACUUUCUGAGUGUGUUUUAUUCCACUAAACUAUGUGAAAUUGCCAAUAUCAACCAUUUUUAAUCUACAAAACGGCAGUUUCAUAGGGUUCAACCUAAUAUUUCACAGUAAAGACCAGUUUACAUUAAGCUAAGCAGCCGUUCAAAAUGAUGAUUUUAAGGCUAUUAAUAACUGCGUUCACUCAUUUAUUUAUUAAACAAAUGUUUCCCAGGGGCUUUGAUGAACCAGGCAUACUUGUAGGCAUGGGGAUGGGGAAUCAAAAUCUGUCGGGGGCGGGGGGCGGGGGGGGGCUGGGUGGCUCAGUCGGUCGAGCUUCCAACUUCAGCUCAGGUCAUGAGCUCAUGGCUCCUGAGUUCAAGCCUCGCGUCGGGCUCUGUGCUGAUGGCUCAGAGCCUGGAGCCUGCUUUGGAUUCUGUGUCUCCCUCUCUCUGCCCCUCCCCUGCUCAUACUCUGUCUCUGCCUCUCCAUCUCUCUCUCAACUAAAUAAACAUUGAAAAAAAAUUUAAAACAGACAAAUUCUGUCACGGUGCUCACAUUCCCAUGAAGUGGAGGAGAGAGGCUGUGCACAGCCAUGGAAGGACCGGUCCGCAGGCCGUGAAAAGAACAAGUGCACAGGCCCUAAGUCUGGAAUGUGCUUGGCGGGACUGCAGAACAAGGAGGCCAGCGUUAUCCAGUCAGAGUGCAACAAGGGGAGAGGACGAGCACACGAGACGAGAGGUAACCAAGGACCGACCACGGAAGUCCCACACGCCCGGGCGAGGGACUUUGGAUUUUAUUCCGAGAGUGACAAGAGGCCGCUGGAAGCCUGAGAGCAGGACGUGCUAUGAUUCGAUUUAUAGUGUGGAAGGAAGAGACCGACUGUUCUAUGGAGAAGGGAAGUAGGGAAGCCGAAGCAGGGAUUCCUGUUGCUGUGAUGUCUGGGCACGGGAUAAAGGUGGCAUGGACCAGGGCGGGGGUGAUGGGGGCACGCAGGGUGUCGGAGUCAGAGCUGGUAAAUUUUAUAGGGAGAACCCAGACCGGAUUUGUGGAUGGACUGCAUGGAGAGUAAGUAGAAAAGGUCAAUAAUGUGUAUGAUAUAUAUUUUUUAAAUUAGGAUACACAAUUCUAUAGACAGUAUGGUCAAAACUCUUCAAAAUGUGUUCUUGGGGCACCUGGCUGGCUCCGUUGGUGGGGCAUGCGACACUUGAUCUCUGGGUUGUGAAUUCUGGCCCCAUGUUGGGUGUAGAGAGUACUUAAAAAUAAAAUCUUUAGGGGUGCCUGAGAGGUUCAGCCGGCCAAGUGUCCGACUCUAGGUUUUAGCUCAGGUGAUGAUCUCACGGUUUGUGGGUUUGAGCCCUGCCUCGGGCUGAUGGCACGGAGUGUGCUUGGGAUUCUGUCCCUCCAUCUCUGCCUCUCCCCUGCUCAUGCGCACUCUCAUUCUCAAAAUAAAUAAAUAAACAUCAAAAAAUUUAAAAUAAAAUAAGAUCUUAAAAAAAAA